CAGCCGCCACGGGAAUACGUAGGGGGCAAGCGUUAUCCGGAAUAACUGGGCGUAAAGGGUGCGCAGGUGGUUUAACAAGUUAGUGGUGAAAGGCAUAGGCUCAACCAAUGUAAGCCAUUAAAACUAUUUAACUUGAGUGCAGGAGAGGAAAGUGGAAUUCCUAGUGUAGCGGUGAAAUGCGUAGAUAUUAGGAGGAAUACCAGUGGCGAAGGCGACUUUCUGGACUGCAACUGACACUGAGGCACGAAAGCGUGGGGAGCAAAUGGGAUUAGAUACCCCAGUAGUCCCUGUCUCUUAUACA
RNAcentral lists this ribosomal RNA (301 nucleotides) under uncultured bacterium. RNAcentral describes it as "partial 16S ribosomal RNA". It matches the Rfam family "Bacterial small subunit ribosomal RNA", at positions 509 to 808 of the family's 1533-position model. The record is from RNAcentral.